GUUUAUUUGCGCGUUAUGCACAGAUACAUUCGUUUACAUUCAGAGUGUGUAAAAGUACUCCAAGUCUGAUCUGGCUCUCACCAAAUCAAGUCGGCGACAAAAGUCGCCCUCAGAGUCAAAGAUGCACAGGUGUGUGGAUUUGCGACCCUCGUGCACAUGUGUUGCCACCAGCACAGAGGACCGACUUGUAAUUCAUUAAUGAUCCUUCCGCAGGUUCACCUACGGAAA
Molecule: unclassified non-coding RNA, 228 nt
Filed under: uncultured fungus
Lineage: Eukaryota; Fungi
Description: sequence contains ITS1
Source: RNAcentral